CCCUUAGAUGUCCUGGGCCGCACGCGCGCUACACUGACAUGUUCAACAAGCCUCCUAGUUCGACAGGAUUUGGGAAAUCUUUGAACGCAUGUCGUGAUAGGGAUAGAUCAUUGCAAUUAUUGAUCUUGAACGAGGAAUUCCUAGUAAACGCGAGUCAUCAGCUCGCAUUGAUUACGUCCCUGCCCUUUGUACACACCGCCCGUCGCACCUACCGAUUGAAUGUUUCGGUGAAGAUUCUGGAUAGGACUUUUUUGAUUUAUUUCAAUUUUGUCUUAAAAGCUAUCUAAACCUCAACAUUUAGAGGAAGGUGAAGUCGUAACA
RNAcentral lists this ribosomal RNA (321 nucleotides) under uncultured eukaryote. RNAcentral's name for it is "partial 18S ribosomal RNA". It matches the Rfam family "Eukaryotic small subunit ribosomal RNA", at positions 1470 to 1796 of the family's 1831-position model. The record is from RNAcentral.